GUUGAACGCUGGCGGCAGGCCUAACACAUGCAAGUCGAGCGGAUGAAGGGAGCUUGCUCCUGGAUUCAGCGGCGGACGGGUGAGUAAUGCCUAGGAAUCUGCCUGGUAGUGGGGGAUAACGUCCGGAAACGGGCGCUAAUACCGCAUACGUCCUGAGGGAGAAAGUGGGGGAUCUUCGGACCUCACGCUAUCAGAUGAGCCUAGGUCGGAUUAGCUAGUUGGUGGGGUAAAGGCCUACCAAGGCGACGAUCCGUAACUGGUCUGAGAGGAUGAUCAGUCACACUGGAACUGAGACACGGUCCAGACUCCUACGGGAGGCAGCAGUGGGGAAUAUUGGACAAUGGGCGAAAGCCUGAUCCAGCCAUGCCGCGUGUGUGAAGAAGGUCUUCGGAUUGUAAAGCACUUUAAGUUGGGAGGAAGGGCAGUAAGUUAAUACCUUGCUGUUUUGACGUUACCAACAGGAUAAGCACCGGCUAACUUCGUG
This 484-nucleotide ribosomal RNA is filed under the name uncultured bacterium. RNAcentral's name for it is "partial 16S ribosomal RNA". It matches the Rfam family "Bacterial small subunit ribosomal RNA", at positions 28 to 507 of the family's 1533-position model. The record is from RNAcentral.